GAAAAGCCAGUGGCGCGAA
This 19-nucleotide small nuclear RNA is filed under the name Arabidopsis thaliana (thale cress). RNAcentral's name for it is "snRNA_18460". Lineage: Eukaryota; Viridiplantae; Streptophyta; Magnoliopsida; Brassicales; Brassicaceae. The record is from RNAcentral.